This 419-nucleotide ribosomal RNA is filed under the name Limosilactobacillus reuteri. RNAcentral describes it as "bacterial SSU rRNA". It matches the Rfam family "Bacterial small subunit ribosomal RNA", at positions 645 to 1060 of the family's 1533-position model. Lineage: Bacteria; Bacillati; Bacillota; Bacilli; Lactobacillales; Lactobacillaceae. The record is from RNAcentral.
AGUGCAAGAGAGGACAGUGGAACUUCCAUGUGUAGCGGUGGAAUGCGUAGAUAUAUGGAAGAACAACCAGUGGCGAAGGCGGCUGUCUAGCUUGCAACUGACGCUGAGGCUCGAAAGCAUGGGUAGNGAACAGGAUUAGAUACCCUGGUAGUCCAUGCCGUAAACGAUGAGUGCUAGGUGUUGGAGGGUUUCCGCCCUUCAGUGCCGGAGCUAACGCAUUAAGCACUCCGCCUGGGGAGUACGACCGCAAGGUUGAAACUCAAAGGAAUUGACGGGGGCCCGCACAAGCGGUGGAGCAUGUGGUUUAAUUCGAAGCUACGCGAAGAACCUUACCAGGUCUUGACAUCUUGCGCUAACCUCAGAGAUGAGGCGUUCCCUUCGGGGACGCAAUGACAGGUGGUGCAUGGUCGUCGUCAGCU